Molecule: ribosomal RNA, 464 nt
Filed under: Vreelandella stevensii
Lineage: Bacteria; Pseudomonadati; Pseudomonadota; Gammaproteobacteria; Oceanospirillales; Halomonadaceae
Description: partial 16S ribosomal RNA
Rfam family: Bacterial small subunit ribosomal RNA
Source: RNAcentral
CUAGGGGCGGCAGCAGUGGGGAAUAUUGGACAAUGGGCGAAAGCCUGAUCCAGCCAUGCCGCGUGUGUGAAGAAGGCCUUCGGGUUGUAAAGCACUUUCAGUGGGGAAGAAAGCCUUGGGGCUAAUACCCUCGAGGAAGGACAUCACCCACAGAAGAAGCACCGGCUAACUCCGUGCCAGCAGCCGCGGUAAUACGGAGGGUGCGAGCGUUAAUCGGAAUUACUGGGCGUAAAGCGCGCGUAGGCGGUCUGAUAAGCCGGUUGUGAAAGCCCCGGGCUCAACCUGGGAACGGCAUCCGGAACUGUCAGGCUAGAGUGCAGGAGAGGAAGGUAGAAUUCCCGGUGUAGCGGUGAAAUGCGUAGAGAUCGGGAGGAAUACCAGUGGCGAAGGCGGCCUUCUGGACUGACACUGACGCUGAGGUGCGAAAGCGUGGGUAGCAAACAGGAUUAGAUACCCUGGUAGUC